Molecule: non-coding RNA, 72 nt
Organism: Phrynosoma platyrhinos (Desert horned lizard)
Lineage: Eukaryota; Metazoa; Chordata; Lepidosauria; Squamata; Phrynosomatidae
Source: the annotation of a GenBank genome assembly
GCCAGCAUGGCAUAGUGGUUUGGGGAUUAGACUAGGGCUCUUGAGACAAGGGUUCAUUUCCCUGUUCAGCCA